Molecule: ribosomal RNA, 432 nt
Filed under: uncultured bacterium
Lineage: Bacteria
Description: partial 16S ribosomal RNA
Rfam family: Bacterial small subunit ribosomal RNA
Source: RNAcentral
GCGAACGCUGGCGGCAGGCUUAACACAUGCAAGUCGAGCGGGCACUUCGGUGUCAGCGGCAGACGGGUGAGUAACACGUGGGAACGUACCCUUUGGUUCGGAAUAACGCUGGGAAACUAGCGCUAAUACCGGAUACGCCCUUUUGGGGAAAGGCUUGCUGCCGAAGGAUCGGCCCGCGUCUGAUUAGCUAGUUGGUGGGGUAAUGGCCUACCAAGGCGACGAUCAGUAGCUGGUCUGAGAGGAUGAUCAGCCACACUGGGACUGAGGCACGGCCCAGACUCCUACGGGAGGCAGCAGUGGGGAAUAUUGGACAAUGGGCGCAAGCCUGAUCCAGCCAUGCCGCGUGAGUGAUGAAGGCCUUAGGGUUGUAAAGCUCUUUUGUCCGGGACGAUAAUGACGGUACCGGAAGAAUAAGCCCCGGCUAACUUCGUG